UAACCGGCGAUACCCGAAUGGGGAAACCCAGUGUGAUUCGUCACACUAUCAUUAACUGAAUCCAUAGGUUAAUGAGGCGAACCGGGGGAACUGAAACAUCUAAGUACCCCGAGGAAAAGAAAUCAACCGAGAUUCCCCCAGUAGCGGCGAGCGAACGGGGAGGAGCCCAGAGCCUGAAUCAGCAUGUGUGUUAGUGGAAGCGUCUGGAAAGGCGCGCGAUACAGGGUGACAGCCCCGUACACAAAAGCGCAUGUGCUGUGAGCUCGAUGAGUAGGGCGGGACACGUGGUAUCCUGUCUGAAUAUGGGGGGACCAUCCUCCAAGGCUAAAUACUCCUGACUGACCGAUAGUGAACCAGUACCGUGAGGGAAAGGCGAAAAGAACCCCGGCGAGGGGAGUGAAAAAGAACCUGAAACCGUGUACGUACAAGCAGUGGGAGCACAGGUUUACCUGUGUGACUGCGUACCUUUUGUAUAAUGGGUCAGCGACUUAU
RNAcentral lists this ribosomal RNA (492 nucleotides) under Salmonella enterica. Its description in RNAcentral is "partial 23S ribosomal RNA". It matches the Rfam family "Bacterial large subunit ribosomal RNA", at positions 101 to 631 of the family's 2925-position model. Lineage: Bacteria; Pseudomonadati; Pseudomonadota; Gammaproteobacteria; Enterobacterales; Enterobacteriaceae. The record is from RNAcentral.